Molecule: long non-coding RNA, 1072 nt
Filed under: Capra hircus (goat)
Lineage: Eukaryota; Metazoa; Chordata; Mammalia; Artiodactyla; Bovidae
Description: lncRNA (ENSCHIG00010000669.1)
Source: RNAcentral
AAAUCAUGCAGAAGUGAGAUAUUCUAGUUGACGUAUGUGCAGAAGCCUGAGUAUUCAAGGGAGAGCAGACCAGGCAUGAGAAAACACACAAAGGAAACUGAAGCAUGUACCAUUCGAUACUGUCAUUCCAGAUCCUCAUGGACUAUUGCCUGUUCUGAAAAAUAUUUGAAACUGCGCGGAAAGCUGCAUCUGUCUGUAUCUUUUCUUUUGUAAAUGACCUCACAUGUAAAUUCACCAAAUAAAUAUUACAUUCAAGCUUUUCAAUCUAUUCUUUAAAUAGAAGGAUAGGCAGUUUAUUCAUUUACCAUAGUAUUUGGUAAAUUCAUUCUCUUGUGGGCUCAAGCUAACUUUGACAUAUUAGACACGUUUGUAUAUGAAACACAGUAAGUUUUAGGUAUCAAAGAUGGAGUUUGCCAUUCUUCCUCCUGGUAAAACAAAAGCCCUAAGGAACAGCUAGUAGAACCAGCUUACUCUAUUCCUACCUUCACCUUACUUGUACUGCACAACAGCCUGGAAGGUCACCAGGCAGACCUGAGCCCUGUGGCUCAGCUUAUCCUCAAACUGGUUUCACCAGUGAGGGCUUUUUUUUUUUCCCCCACCAGUGACUUUUGAUCAGUCUUCAGCCACUUGGUCUUGUAAUCUGAAAAAUCCUACCAUCCUUAGGUAUUUGUGGUAUGAAUAAGUAAGAGAUCUCAGUGCAGUACUAAGCAGCUUUGGCUUUAUAACACAAUUCAAAUUGUGUUAGAUGGAAAUUCAAAUUGUAAAUAGUUGUUUUUCCCAGGAGAGCACAACGAAUUGUCAUCUUCUUAAGGCUGUUUAUAAACAGGAAGACUGUAUACUUACCCAAAAAAAUUUUGAGUAAUAAUGAAAGUAGUAAUUACCUAAGACUGUCCUGGGUAAAUUGAGUUGUAUGGUCUUUGUAUUUAUAAUGAAACAAUAUGGUAGUGGGAGAGCUAAUAACUAAUCAACCGUACAUUUAAUUGUCUGCAAAACUGUUUGAACAGUUCAGUCAGUUCAGUUCACUCAGUUGUGUCCAACUCUUUGUGACCCCAUGAGUUGCAGCACUCCAGGC